Molecule: ribosomal RNA, 588 nt
Filed under: Triticum aestivum (bread wheat)
Lineage: Eukaryota; Viridiplantae; Streptophyta; Magnoliopsida; Poales; Poaceae
Description: partial small subunit ribosomal RNA
Source: RNAcentral
CAAAUGUUCCCGACAAAGACGCCGGGGCCAGAUGGGUUUCCAGCACAUUUUUUUCAGAAAUAUUGGCAUUUAUGCGGUGAAGAGGUGACCAAGAUUGUUAUUCGGAUUUUGAAGGGGGAAGACUCCCUUGAGGAGAUCAACAGGACGUUCAUUGUUAUUAUCCCUAAGGUAAAUAACCCAACUUUUUUGUCUCAGUUCCGACCCAUUAGCUUGUGCAAUGUGAUGUUCAAGAUCGCAUCAAAAGUGCUAGCUAACAGACUGAAGCAGAUUCUCCCUAAGAUCAUUUCCGAAGAGCAGUCGGCCUUUGUGCCAGGUAGACUCAUUACUGAUAAUGUCAUAACGGCGUAUGGGUGCUUGCAUUACAUGAAAAAUAAUAGAAGUAAGAAGAAUUCCCAUUGUGCUGUAAAGUUGGAUAUGCAGAAAGCCUAUGACCAUCUAGAAUGGAACUAUCUCGAAGCAAUCAUGAAGAAGUUGGGAAUUAGUAACCAGUUUGUAGAUGCAGUUAUGAGGGGAGUAAAAUCAGUUUCUUACUCGGUCCUCUUCAAUGGAGGUCCAACAAGGGAAUUUUUGCCAUCCAGAGGGAUUCGA